RNAcentral lists this long non-coding RNA (296 nucleotides) under Rattus norvegicus (Norway rat). Its description in RNAcentral is "long non-coding RNA NONRATT004924". Lineage: Eukaryota; Metazoa; Chordata; Mammalia; Rodentia; Muridae. The record is from RNAcentral.
GGCAGUCCGAGAGCUGGCAGCCGCCACGCUCACCCACGUGCAGGGCUGCAGUGCUGUGGAUGGGCUGGGCCUGCAGCCGGGACUAGAGCAUUUGUAUGAGAUGAUCCUGAAGAGGAAGAAGGCACCCCGGUCGAGCAAGAAGAGACGGUGACCCGCGGCUGCCCCUACCCUACGUGCUAGGGCCCUAUCUAGAGGAGCCAGAAUCCUGAGGCAACGGACAAAGGAGAAGCAGAGAACAUUCUUUCUGGGCAGGAGGUUGCUGUUUUACGUCUGAGAUUAAAUCAAGAAGUUUCAGU